GAUGAACGCUGGCGGCGUGCCUAAUACAUGCCAGUAGAACGCUGAAGGAGGAGCUUGCUCUUCUGGAUGAGUUGCGAACGGGUGAGUAACGCGUAGGUAACCUGCCUGGUAGCGGGGGAUAACUAUUGGAAACGAUAGCUAAUACCGCAUGACAACAGUUAUUGCAUGAUAACUGUUUAAAAGGGGCAACUGCUCCACUACCAGAUGGACCUGCGUUGUAUUAGCUAGUUGGUGAGGUAACGGCUCACCAAGGCGACGAUACAUAGCCGACCUGAGAGGGUGAUCGGCCACACUGGGACUGAGACACGGCCCAGACUCCUACGGGAGGCAGCAGUAGGGAAUCUUCGGUAAUGGACGGAAGUCUGACCGAGCAACGCCGCGGGAGUGAAGAAGGUUUUCGGAUCGUAAAGCUCUGUUGUAAGAGAAGAACGAGUGUGAGAGUGGAAAGUUCACACUGUGACGGUAUCUUACCAGAAAGGGACGGCUAACUACGUG
This 495-nucleotide ribosomal RNA is filed under the name uncultured bacterium. RNAcentral describes it as "partial 16S ribosomal RNA". It matches the Rfam family "Bacterial small subunit ribosomal RNA", at positions 28 to 507 of the family's 1533-position model. The record is from RNAcentral.